ACGAACGCUGGCGGCAUGCCUAACACAUGCAAGUCGCACGAGACCUUCGGGUCUAGUGGCGCACGGGUGCGUAACGCGUGGGAAUCUGCCCUUCGGUUGGGAAUAACUGAGAGAAAUUUCAGCUAAUACCUUAUAAUGUCUUCGGACCAAAGAUUUAUCGCCGAGGGGUGAGCCCGCGUAGGAUUAGGUAGUUGGUGGGGUAAUGGCCUACCAAGCCGACGAUCCUUAGCUGGUCUGAGAGGAUGAUCAGCCACACUGGGACUGAGACACGGCCCAGACUCCUACGGGAGGCAGCAGUGGGGAAUAUUGGACAAUGGGCGAAAGCCUGAUCCAGCAAUGCCGCGUGAGUGAUGAAGGCCUUAGGGUUGUAAAGCUCUUUUACCCGGGAUGAUAAUGACAGUACCGGGAGAAUAAGCUCCGGCUAACUCCGUG
This 432-nucleotide ribosomal RNA is filed under the name uncultured bacterium. RNAcentral's name for it is "partial 16S ribosomal RNA". It matches the Rfam family "Bacterial small subunit ribosomal RNA", at positions 29 to 507 of the family's 1533-position model. The record is from RNAcentral.